This 861-nucleotide ribosomal RNA is filed under the name Triticum aestivum (bread wheat). RNAcentral's name for it is "partial small subunit ribosomal RNA". Lineage: Eukaryota; Viridiplantae; Streptophyta; Magnoliopsida; Poales; Poaceae. The record is from RNAcentral.
AUGACUAUAAGGAACCAACGAUUCUCUCUUCUUAAACAACAUAUAUACUCCACACUUAACCAACAUUUGAUAGAUUAUCCAACCCCAAGCAAUCUUAGUUAUUGGUGGGGGUUCGGUUCGUUAGCAGGUAUUUGUUUAGUCAUUCAGAUAGUGACUGGCUUUUUAGCUAUGCAUCACACACCUCAUGUGGAUCUAGCUUUCAACAGCGUAGAACACAUUAUGAGAGAUGUUGAAGGGGGCUGGUUGCUCCGUUAUAUGCACGCUAAUGGGGCAAGUAUGUUUCUCAUUGUGGUUCACCUUCAUAUUUUUCGUGGUCUAUAUCAUGCGAGUUAUAGCAGUCCUAGGGAAUUUGUUCGGUGUCUCGGAGUUGUCAUAUUCCUAUUAAUGAUUGUGACAUCUUUUAUAUAAUACAUACCACCUUGGGAUCAGAUGAGCUUUUGGGGAGCACCAGUAAUUACAAGCUUAGCUAGCGCCAUACCAGUAGUAGGAGAUACCAUAGUGACUUGGCUUUGGGGUGGUUUCUCCAUGGACAAUGCCACCUUAAAUCGUUUUUUUAGUCUCCAUCAUUUACUCCCCCUUAUUUUAGUAGGCGCCAGUCUUCUUCAUCUGGCCGCAUUGCAUCAAUAUGGAUCAAAUAAUCCAUUGGGUGUACAUUCUGAGAUGGAUAAAAUUGCUUCUUACCCCUAUUUUUAUGUAAAGGAUCUUGUAGGUCGGGUAGCUUCUGCUAUCUUUUUUUUGUCGAUUAUUUAUCAAGAAAGCAAAAAGGGUUCUUAUCAAAUCCACCAUAAAAUUGGAAAGAAGCAUAAAGUAAGUAGACCUGACUCCUUUAAUGAUGCCUCUAUCCGCUAUUCUGAUAUAUAA